Molecule: small nucleolar RNA, 128 nt
Organism: Mesocricetus auratus (golden hamster)
Lineage: Eukaryota; Metazoa; Chordata; Mammalia; Rodentia; Cricetidae
Source: Ensembl
UGGGUGUGUUCAGCGUAGGGGGCCUGGAGAAUGGCUUCUGUGUUCACAGCACACCCGAGCGGAAUCUGGGGCCAUUGUAAUGAGGGGCGGGGAACUGUGUCCUCUUUGUGAGCAGAUCCCCCACAUGU